RNAcentral lists this long non-coding RNA (799 nucleotides) under Macaca mulatta (Rhesus monkey). RNAcentral describes it as "lncRNA (ENSMMUG00000042794.2)". Lineage: Eukaryota; Metazoa; Chordata; Mammalia; Primates; Cercopithecidae. The record is from RNAcentral.
AUCAUCUUUCUGCCUGGCUGUGUCCCACAAAGUCAGCUCUACCCGUUUCCCAUCCACCUCGAUACGGGACACAUAGUUCUGAAACCCUGAGGGUGCGUACCCCUCUGGGAACUGCUCCUUGCUGAAGACAAUGAGCAAGCACGUCUUGCCACAGACUCCGUCACCGACAAUUACCAGCUUCUUCUGGAUGGGAGCCAUUGCUGGAGGACACUGGCCUGGGUGGCUGAAAUUGUGCAAAGUACCUUGAACUUCUCAGAGGACAGGCUCAGGCGACGAAUCGGAGUCCAGUCUCUUCGUGCCCAGGACGCGAGUCGCAAGCUGGGAAAGCAAGGCUGGUAACUGAACAGGAGACCACGGACUCACGAGAGAACCGAUGGAGGACGCAGGAAGGGAGCGCGAGCCACCCAGGGCGGGCGGCCUCUACCUGAUUUGAAAACUCUUACAGAUAUUGUAACAGCUGCUGAGUCUCUGAUUGGGUAUGAAGCCCUAACUCUGACUCCCACUACGCUAGUUCAAACAGAAUUAAGUCAGCAGAGCCACCACACAAACUCUCCUUUUAAAUUGAGCUACAAGGACUCCACAAUCAUAAAGCAGCCAAGAAAACCAGGAAUUUUGAAGAAAGUCAAGAAAAUUACUGAAGGCCAAGAAAUUAAGCCUAGUGGACAAUUCACCUAGCAUAAGAAGCAUGGUGGACUAUAAAGACAUUGAUCACUGAAGUUAUGUAUACAUGCAGAAAAGAGAGUCAGAAAGCAUAUAUUAAAUAAAAGAGAAAACCAAAAUUGUUUUGAAAUUAUCUCUC